UGGACCGCAGGCAGCCAGCCAAGGCGCUCAUUGGCUGCUCUUCGGAGACAAAGGUAAAAAUAUGCAAAUACGCCCAGCCCGGCGACCUGGUGUUGAACGAAGUCCUGGAGGAGCCGGAGCGGGUUUGCACCUUCCCGAUAUCGGUCUUGUUUUAUUUUUGCUUGAGGGGAAGAUUGCGGCUUCCUGAGAAGACAUUGGUCAUCCUGACAACCCAACUCUCACCGACGCACCUCCGUGCACACGUAUUAUCGAGGGAAGAAUGGGACUUCUGCUCAAAUGAAUAACUCUCAUCAUUCUCUCUUUCUCUCUCUCCCCUUUUGGUUAUCCAAAAAAAGCAAAGUCUGCUUCCAUUACACAGAAGCCAGCAGUCAAGGACAGGGAGAGCAGCUGACUUAGCACAAGACCAAGAGCACAAGGCUGGAGUGGCUUGUGAAAGUGUGGAAAGACCAAGAGAAUGAACUGUGUUGUGUUAUGGGAAUUCAGAUGCUGACCAGUGGAACUUUGUGAGUUAAAAGCUGUGUUCGGCAGCAAGACAGCUGGGAGAAAACUCACAGGUAUUCCAGUAUCAGGAACUGAGGAAAAAGAGAUCUCCUUCAGUCUGAAGAAACAUUUUUCCUUGAGCACUAUUUCAGGGACGAUAUUCAGAUAUUCUCUACCCUGGAACACUCACCAUGAGUGCGUUGGAUACAUCCCACUUCACUACUGAGAUCUCUCAGAAGACACCGGCUUCCCUAUAGGAUCCGCAUGCUCAGUGCAAACAUCUUCAGGAUGAAAGUCUAUGAAAAGCCUAUGGCCAACAUGGUUUCUUUCCUGCACAUCCAUGCUGAAUGUGUGGAAGCCUACUGUGAUACAUACAUAAUUAGACUGAUAUUGACAGAACAAAGAACUUAUUUAGAAUACUCAUGUGGUAACUGAUUUGGACCCACAAUGCUUGAAAUGGAGCUUAUAUUUUGCUCAUCUAUUGAGGGAAAGAGAAGGAUCAACAUGAGUCAAACUUAAUUCCUGAUGAUUACAUGAAUACAACCAUGGAGCUUUCCAGGGAACAGCACAAAAGUGGUUUGGCCAGGACUGCUGCCUGGGUUUUUAGAUAUUCAAAAUCCUUUGGAUUCUAUUCAAAGGUAAAUUAAUAUAAAACAGUCGUAGAAGGAAAAAUUUGCAUCUCCUCCUUUCUCCGGGAUCCACAUGGCUUACGAAGGUUCCAAUAAUCCUGGGAGACCCUGCAGAAGACAAAGUGUGACUGGAAACUUUCCAUCUGUUUAACUUUUUGAAGUUCUGUUAACUCAUAAUAUUUAAUGCCACAACAGGCAUCCAUUUAUUUCUACAUACUAGGAUUAAUUGCAUGCUUUGGAUUUUAUUUUUUCUCUCUACAGUUUUAAUAAUCUUCAGAUACCACAGAAUUACUAUUAAAUAUAUUUAAGGACAAAAACAUUAUUUAGAUAUAUACAGGAUUUAGUAUGUUUGAGUAAAAUUUUAUAUUUUAUCUUAAGCUGGAUUUCUUGUGUUCUGAAAAACUUACAAUAAUAAAAAUAAUGCUUAAAACCCUUAAGUUAACAAAAUUACAUGAUGCAAACUACUUAGCCUUUAUAGGGCAGAUAUCAAAAAUCACUAAAGGGUUUUAUUUUUGCCUUUCUGAAAUGUUAAUGUUUAGAGUUUUCUCUCUUAUGACAAUUUCCCCAAUACAAACAAUAUAAAUCCAAACCUAGUGUUCCUGAAAUCACGGAGGGGCCCAGUCAGAAUAGAUUCCCCCAAGCCUGCAAUUUAUUUUUUAAAAGCAUACAUGCAAGCCUUAAUUGUGCUCCAUCUAAUUUGGCUCUGAACAUAAUCCUAAACCUAAGUUUAGGCAAAGAAAAGAAGUUUUGAAUUAUGGCCACAGGAAUGAUUCAUUCCAUUGACAAGGAUUAGAUUUGUUGCAACUGAAAGUAAAAGGGUUCCCUGCCUUUAUUAGCCAGCAUCCCAGAACUGAGAGCCUUGCUUGGAAGUAUAUACUAAAGAAAGGAAAACUCAUUUGUA
This is a long non-coding RNA of Python bivittatus (Burmese python), 2010 nucleotides long. RefSeq lists it as uncharacterized. Lineage: Eukaryota; Metazoa; Chordata; Lepidosauria; Squamata; Pythonidae. The record is from RefSeq and is a predicted model, not a curated record.